UUAAUAAUAUUCUUAUUAAAAAUAUAAUUAUCUUAAUAUUUGGUCCUUUCGUACUAAAAUAUUAUAAUUUUUUAAAGAUAGAAACCAACCUGGCUUACGCCGGUUUGAACUCAGAUCAUGUAAGAAUUUAAAAGUCGAACAGACUUAAAAUUUGAACGGCUACACCCAAAAUUAUAUCUUAAUCCAACAUCGAGGUCGCAAUCUUUUUUAUCGAUAUGAACUCUCCAAAAAAAUUACGCUGUUAUCCCUAAAGUAACUUAAAUUUUUAAUCACUAUUAAUGGAUCAAUUAUUCAUAAAUCAAUGGUUUUAAAAAUUAAAAGUUUUUUAAAUUUUAAUAUCACCCCAAUAAAAUAUUUUAAUUUAUAAUAAUAAAACUAAUCUUUACAAUUAAAAUAAAUAAAAUAUAAAGAUUUAUAGGGUCUUCUCGUCUUUUAAAUUAAUUUUAGCUUUUUGACUAAAAAAUAAAAUUCUAUAAAAAAUUCAAAUGAAAC
RNAcentral lists this ribosomal RNA (492 nucleotides) under Drosophila differens. RNAcentral's name for it is "partial 16S ribosomal RNA". The record is from RNAcentral. Lineage: Eukaryota; Metazoa; Arthropoda; Insecta; Diptera; Drosophilidae.